Rhododendron vialii is the source of this 982-nucleotide long non-coding RNA. RefSeq lists it as uncharacterized. The transcript has 2 exons. Lineage: Eukaryota; Viridiplantae; Streptophyta; Magnoliopsida; Ericales; Ericaceae. The record is from RefSeq and is a predicted model, not a curated record.
CAUGUCGUUUUAACUUAAGUAUUGUUGUUAUAUUCUGAUAGCUAUCAUUUUUUGUUGAUGUUCUUUCCAAUGGUUAGAUAUCACCAACUGAAAUUCGCGGCACACUUGGAUCUAUCAGGAAAUCCUUUAUGGUAUGUUUUUCUUGCAUGAUACCUACAUGACGGGAAGGUAGCUUUGAUGUUUAGGGAGAUAUGAAUGUACCAAAGAAGUUGAUAGACACUGUUCAAAGGUGCUAAGACUGAUACUACAUAUUUAGUGCAUUUUCCUCUUACCAGCCAAUCUGCCAAAAGUACGCUUAUAUUUAGAAAUUCUGCCUGAUCAAAUGAUUGAAUAAGUUUGUCCUUAAAAAUUGCUGCAUCUCUUGUUAAACAAAAGGGCAUAAGGAAUGAGGACCAGUUUCAGAAUACGACCCCUUGGAUACUAAUAAAAUCCUAUAUAUCGUACCCCUUGUUUUUGGAUCAUCCCAUUGUAAGUAACUUUUGAGGAAGUUGACAGAGUUUUUUGUAACCACCACUCUUUCUUUUGUAUUCUCUUCCCUCUUUUAUCAGGUAGAGGACAAUGUUUGGCAUUGCAAUUAUCCCAUCUGUUCUAUUGGCACUAGGAAUGGCAUUUUCUCCAGAAAGCCCUAGGUGGCUUUAUCAGCAAGGAAAAUUUUCUGAAGCAGAAAUGGCAAUAAAAAGACUGUUUGGAAAGGAAAGAGUAGCUGAGGUAAUGAAUGACUUCAGUGCAACAAGUCAAGGGUCCUCAGAACCAGAAGCUGGGUAGUUUGAUCUUUUCAGUAACCGAUAUCGGAAAGGUAUACCCAGAAAAGAAGGGAAGCUAUUGAUACUGGAUGACAUACAGUCACAUGCAGAAUGUGCAUUUGAGAAUUUAUAGUUCAGUGUCAAUAAUAUCUAUAAUGAUACUAGACGUACAAUGAGAUAUGCCCCGUAUAGUUAUUUUAAUGGCUAAGUAAAAAUGGCUUGCUCCCAUGUUAAGGUUG